AGCAGACAAACAGUCCCAAAUGUUAAAGCAGCCACAGUUAACAGAAGUUCUUUGCUUUCUGUACCAACCCAGGCUGCUUCCAAAAGCAUUUUAACAAGGAGGAAUAAUAGAUUAAAAGUUACAGGGGAAAAAAGCUGAACAUGAAGAGCAGUUGGGUUCUCAGUCUCCAGCCCAUGGGUGCAACAAGAGCUUCAAAACCUACAUCCAACCUGUGUGAACACCACCAACAGCCAUGAAAGACACCAGGUACACCCCUGCCAGUGCCACCUGGGGUUCCAUCCAUCCAUCCCACCGCUCCAAGAGCUCCUCGGCGCCGCUCCCAACUGAGGAAAACCAAAAGUUCAGCAUCAAGAAUUCACAAAGUGCAUUUCUCAGAGACUGGAUUUAAACUGAAACCAGACUAAAAUAUGUGGAUGCCUAUGGAAUGUUGAGCUGAAGCUGGGCUCCCAGCCUGCAGUGCAACACCUGCUGUUUAAAACCCAAUCUCCGUACCACAUGACUUGGAAAAAACCAAAACCCCCCCCCAACGCAAUCAUGUUCAGAGAUGUGACAGAAAUAAAACUACAGUUUUUGCA
Molecule: long non-coding RNA, 575 nt
Organism: Strigops habroptila (Kakapo)
Lineage: Eukaryota; Metazoa; Chordata; Aves; Psittaciformes; Psittacidae
Exons: 2
Source: RefSeq, a predicted model, not a curated record